RNAcentral lists this ribosomal RNA (469 nucleotides) under uncultured bacterium. RNAcentral describes it as "bacterial SSU rRNA". It matches the Rfam family "Bacterial small subunit ribosomal RNA", at positions 29 to 506 of the family's 1533-position model. The record is from RNAcentral.
ACGAACGCUAGCGGCGUGCCUAACACAUGCAAGUCGUACGAGCAUUAGCAAUAAUGUUAGUGGCGAACGGGUGCGUAACACGUGGGAAAUCUGCCUGGGAGUGGGGAAUAAACGCUCGAAAGGGCGUCUAAUACCGCAUAAUGCAGCGGCCUCGCAUGAGGAUGUUGUUAAAGUAGCGAUACGCUUCCAGAUGAUCCCGCGCCUGAUUAGCUUGUUGGCGGGGUAACGGCCCACCAAGGCGACGAUCAGUAGCCGAUCUGAGAGGAUGACCGGCCACACUGGGACUGAGAUACGGCCCAGACUCCUACGGGAGGCAGCAGUGAGGAGUAUUGCGCAAUGGACGAAAGUCUGACGCAGCAACGCCGCGUGAGUGAUGAAGGUCUUCGGAUUGUAAAGCUCUGUAGCAGGGGAAGAAUUGCCCGUUGAGGGCGUUGACGGUACCCUGAAAGUAAGCACCGGCUAACUCCGU